UAACAAGGAUUCCCCUAGUAACUGCGAGUGAAGCGGGAAAAGCUCAAAUUUAAAAUCUGGCGGCUUCGCCGUCCGAGUUGUAGUCUGGAGAAGUGCUUUCCGCGCUGGACCGUGUAAAAGUCUCUUGGAACAGAGCGUCAUAGAGGGUGAGAAUCCCGUCUUUGACACGGACCCCCAGUGCUUUGUGAUGCGCUCUCAAAGAGUCGAGUUGUUUGGGAAUGCAGCUCAAAAUGGGUGGUAAAUUCCAUCUAAAGCUAAAUAUUGGCGAGAGACCGAUAGCGAACAAGUACCGUGAGGGAAAGAUGAAAAGCACUUUGGAAAGAGAGUUAAACAGUACGUGAAAUUGCUGAAAGGGAAACGCUUGAAGUCAGUCGCGUCGCUCGGAACUCAACCUUGCUCUUGCUUGGUGUAUUUUCCGUUUGACGGGCCAGCAUCAAUUUUGACCGUCGGACAAAGGCUUGGGGAAUGUGGCAUCUUCGGAUGUGUUAUAGCCCCUUGUCACAUGCGGCGAUUGGGAUUGAGGGUUCGAGCACUUGUGCUUCGGAUGCUGGCGUAAUGGCUUUAAACGAC
Molecule: ribosomal RNA, 570 nt
Filed under: Polyporaceae sp. KUC20130808-81
Lineage: Eukaryota; Fungi; Basidiomycota; Agaricomycetes; Polyporales; Polyporaceae
Description: eukaryotic LSU rRNA
Rfam family: Eukaryotic large subunit ribosomal RNA
Source: RNAcentral